Molecule: transfer RNA, 86 nt
Filed under: Pelomonas aquatica
Lineage: Bacteria; Pseudomonadati; Pseudomonadota; Betaproteobacteria; Burkholderiales; Sphaerotilaceae
Description: tRNA-Leu
Rfam family: tRNA
About the family: Transfer RNA (tRNA) molecules are approximately 80 nucleotides in length. Their secondary structure includes four short double-helical elements and three loops (D, anti-codon, and T loops).
Source: RNAcentral
GCUGGGGUGGCGAAAGCGGUAUACGCAGCGGACUUAAAAUCCGCCGAGGGUAAAUCCUCGUACGGGUUCGAGUCCCGUCCCCAGCA